AAGGUGUUUUAUGAUUUAUCUAGCCUUCAGUUGAUGUGUCAACAGCUGCUCAUGUCCUUUAUUAGCCUUGCAUACACCCAACACUAUGCUUAUGUUCAUUGGUCUUGCUCUUGUGGUAUUUGUUUAGCAUGGCCAGCAACAGGAUGUUUUAUGAUUUAUCUAGGCUUUCAUUUGAAUCUCAAUCAAGAUCACAACAAAUCCAUAAGGCCCUAAGCAUUGUUCGCC
Molecule: long non-coding RNA, 225 nt
Filed under: Elaeis guineensis (African oil palm)
Lineage: Eukaryota; Viridiplantae; Streptophyta; Magnoliopsida; Arecales; Arecaceae
Description: long non-coding RNA (EGUI_LNC002192)
Source: RNAcentral